RNAcentral lists this ribosomal RNA (371 nucleotides) under uncultured bacterium. RNAcentral describes it as "bacterial SSU rRNA". It matches the Rfam family "Bacterial small subunit ribosomal RNA", at positions 546 to 916 of the family's 1533-position model. The record is from RNAcentral.
CGGAUUACUGGGCGUAAGCGCACGCAGGCGGUCUGUCAAGUCGGAUGUGAAAUCCCCGGGCUCAACCUGGGAACUGCAUUCGAAACUGGCAGGCUGGAGUCUUGUAGAGGGGGGUAGAAUUCCAGGUGUAGCGGUGAAAUGCGUAGAGAUCUGGAGGAAUACCGGUGGCGAAGGCGGCCCCCUGGACUAAGACUGACGCUCAGGUGCGAAAGCGUGGGGAGCAAACAGGAUUAGAUACCCUGGUAGUCCACGCUGUAAACGAUGUCGACUUGGAGGUUGUUCCCUUGAGGAGUGGCUUCCGGAGCUAACGCGUUAAGUCGACCGCCUGGGGAGUACGGCUCGCAAGGAUUAAAACUCAAAGGAAUUGACGG